AAUAAACCAAUCUUUUAAUUUUUACCUACAAUGUUUGACUAUUCGUCUUAUUAAAAAAAUUUAUGAUUAACAUUUUUGUUUUUAUUAGAUGAUAAAUCAUGAAUAGUUCUUUACAUGUGAGUAAUGUUUUUUUAAUUUCUUAAAAAAAUUUCAAAUAAAAUGGAUGAUCAAACGCUAAACACGAAAACCGAAAGUUUGUCUUAUU
Molecule: microRNA precursor, 205 nt
Filed under: Oryza brachyantha (malo sina)
Lineage: Eukaryota; Viridiplantae; Streptophyta; Magnoliopsida; Poales; Poaceae
Description: MIR812 microRNA precursor family
Rfam family: MIR812 microRNA precursor family
Source: Rfam by way of RNAcentral